RNAcentral lists this ribosomal RNA (363 nucleotides) under Tagiades menaka. Its description in RNAcentral is "SSU rRNA". It matches the Rfam family "Eukaryotic small subunit ribosomal RNA", at positions 1162 to 1514 of the family's 1831-position model. Lineage: Eukaryota; Metazoa; Arthropoda; Insecta; Lepidoptera; Hesperiidae. The record is from RNAcentral.
GGGCACCACCAGGGGGUGCAGCUGCGGCUUAUUUGACUCAACACGGGAAAUCUCACCACGCCCGGACACUGAAGGAAUUCACAGAUUAACAGCUCUUUCUUGAUUCGGUGGGUGGUGGUGCAUGGCCGUUCUUAGUUGGUGGAGCGAUUUGUCUGGUUAAUUCCGGUAACGAACGAGACUCUAGCCUGCUAAAUAGGCGUCCUCAUUUAGGUGGGCUCGACUUCGGUCGUGCAACUCACUGGCGACGUAUUAAAAUUCUUCUUAGAGGGACCGGUGUCUUCGAGCCACACGAGAUUGAGCAAUAACAGGUCUGUGAUGCCCUUAGAUGUCCUGGGCCGCACGCGCGCUACACUGAAGGAAUCA